CUCACUUAGGCACACGCCUUUAUCCCAAACAUUACUACAAAUCACUCUCACUUUUCUCUCUUCCUUGUCCGAAAUUCCGACGAACAGUAAUUCAGCUCGAGGGCACGGGCAAAUAUGGCGACGGCAACGGCGGUGGUUGUAUGGUCUGUGUGUCCAGGGGCAGCCAUGGUGAAAACCUUCAGACAAACCAAGAAGAAGAAAACAAGACAUGGAGAUUUCUUACGUGAGGGGACUGAACUCUUACGGCGGUCUGAAAGCACAGAGCGGCAAGGUUGUCUCCAUGGGAAUGCCGUCGUCUACCGAGCAAUGUUUCGCCAAUGUAGUAAUGUCGCUUAAGGGAGGAACCGGUAACGGAUCUGUCUCUUCGACUUGCAACGCGGUGGGAGAGAUUUUCAGGAUCGCAGCCGUCAUAUGAACACGUUUCUGGUUCUUGUCGGCGUCGCGGUUGGAUUCGUUCCUGAAAGACUCAAGGCUCCUUUUCCAUUUUAUGUUGAAUUUUGUCUAUAGUUAAUAUGAAAUAUUGUUCUAAUGCAUUCUUAAUCGGCACAAGUGAUCUAUAUACAUUAUUUGGUUAAUAACCAAAUACCCGAA
Long non-coding RNA from Tarenaya hassleriana, 591 nucleotides. RefSeq lists it as uncharacterized. The record is from RefSeq and is a predicted model, not a curated record. The transcript has 2 exons. NCBI's taxonomy places the organism in Eukaryota, Viridiplantae, Streptophyta, Magnoliopsida, Brassicales, Cleomaceae.